GCUCCCGGAUGUUAGCGGCGGACGGGUGAGUAACACGUGGGUAACCUGCCUGUAAGACUGGGAUAACUCCGGGAAACCGGAGCUAAUACCGGAUAGUUCCUUGAACCGCAUGGUUCAAGGAUGAAAGACGGUUUCGGCUGUCACUUACAGAUGGACCCGCGGCGCAUUAGCUAGUUGGUGAGGUAACGGCUCACCAAGGCGACGAUGCGUAGCCGACCUGAGAGGGUGAUCGGCCACACUGGGACUGAGACACGGCCCAGACUCCUACGGGAGGCAGCAGUAGGGAAUCUUCCGCAAUGGACGAAAGUCUGACGGAGCAACGCCGCGUGAGUGAUGAAGGUUUUCGGAUCGUAAAGCUCUGUUGUUAGGGAAGAACAAGUGCAAGAGUAACUGCUUGCACCUUGACGGUACCUAACCAGAAAGCCACGGCUAACUACGUGCCAGCAGCCGCGGUAAUACGUAGGUGGCAAGCGUUGUCCGGAAUUAUUGGGCGUAAAGGGCUCGCAGGCGGUUUCUUAAGUCUGAUGUGAAAGCCCCCG
RNAcentral lists this ribosomal RNA (539 nucleotides) under Bacillus aerophilus. RNAcentral describes it as "bacterial SSU rRNA". It matches the Rfam family "Bacterial small subunit ribosomal RNA", at positions 81 to 606 of the family's 1533-position model. The record is from RNAcentral. Lineage: Bacteria; Bacillati; Bacillota; Bacilli; Caryophanales; Bacillaceae.